Molecule: non-coding RNA, 69 nt
Organism: Rattus norvegicus (Norway rat)
Lineage: Eukaryota; Metazoa; Chordata; Mammalia; Rodentia; Muridae
Source: Rfam
GGGGAUUUAGCUCAGUGGUAGAGCGCUUGCCUAGCAAGCACAAGGCCCUGAGUUCGGUCCUCAGUUCCA